AUUGAACGCUGGCGGCAGGCCUAACACAUGCAAGUCGAGCGGAUGAAGGGAGCUUGCUCCUGGAUUCAGCGGCGGACGGGUGAGUAAUGCCUAGGAAUCUGCCUGGUAGUGGGGGAUAACGUCCGGAAACGGGCGCUAAUACCGCAUACGUCCUGAGGGAGAAAGUGGGGGAUCUUCGGACCUCACGCUCUCAGAUGAGCCUAGGUCGGAUUGGCUAGUUGGUGGGGUAAAGGCCUACCAAGGCGACGAUCCGUAACUGGUCUGAGAGGAUGAUCAGUCACACUGGAACUGAGACACGGUCCAGACUCCUACGGGAGGCAGCAGUGGGGAAUAUUGGACAAUGGGCGAAAGCCUGAUCCAGCCAUGCCGCGUGUGUGAAGAAGGUCUUCGGAUUGUAAAGCACUUUAAGUUGGGAGGAAGGGAAGUAAGUUAAUACCUUGCUGUUUUGACGUUACCAACAGAAUAAGCACCGGCUAACUUCGUG
RNAcentral lists this ribosomal RNA (484 nucleotides) under uncultured bacterium. RNAcentral's name for it is "partial 16S ribosomal RNA". It matches the Rfam family "Bacterial small subunit ribosomal RNA", at positions 30 to 507 of the family's 1533-position model. The record is from RNAcentral.